AGGACGAACGCUGGCGGCGUGCUUAACACAUGCAAGUCAAGGGGGCCCUGCAAGGGGCAACCGGCGAACGGGUGCGUAACACGUGAGCGACCUACCUUUUUGUGGGGGAUAGCCGGCCCAACGGCCGGGUAAUACCGCAUACGCUCUCUUCUGGGCAUCGUGGGGGGGAGAAACUUUCGAGGCAGAGAGAGGGCUCGCGGCCUAUCAGCUAGUUGGCGGGGUAACGGCCCACAAGGCGGUGACGGGUAGC
RNAcentral lists this ribosomal RNA (250 nucleotides) under uncultured soil bacterium. RNAcentral describes it as "partial 16S ribosomal RNA". It matches the Rfam family "Bacterial small subunit ribosomal RNA", at positions 26 to 287 of the family's 1533-position model. The record is from RNAcentral.